Molecule: ribosomal RNA, 473 nt
Filed under: uncultured bacterium
Lineage: Bacteria
Description: bacterial SSU rRNA
Rfam family: Bacterial small subunit ribosomal RNA
Source: RNAcentral
AGGGUUUGAUUAUGGCUCAGAACGUACGCUGGCGGCACGCCUAAUACAUGCAAGUCGAACGAAGUAGCAAUACUUAGUGGCAGACGGGUGAGUAACAUGUGGGUAUCUUCCCUUUGGUGAGGAAUAACACGAGGAAACUUGUGCUAAUACCUCAUAAGUCUUUACGGAGAAAGCUUUAUGCGCCAAUGGAUGAGCCUGCACUUGAUUAGUUUGUUGGUGGGGUAAUGGCCUACCAAGACUUAGAUCAAUAGCUGAUUUGAGAGGAUGAUCAGCCACAUUGGGACUGAGACACGGCCCAAACUCCUACGGGAGGCAGCAGUAGGGAAUCUUGCACAAUGGAGGAAACUCUGAUGCAGCGAUGCCGCGUGAGUGAAGAAGGCCUUUGGGUUGUAAAGCUCUUUCGUCGGGGAAGAAAAUGACUGUACCCGAAUAAGAAGGUCCGGCUAACUUCGUGCCAGCCGCCGCGGUAAUAC